This 397-nucleotide ribosomal RNA is filed under the name uncultured bacterium. RNAcentral's name for it is "partial 16S ribosomal RNA". It matches the Rfam family "Bacterial small subunit ribosomal RNA", at positions 523 to 918 of the family's 1533-position model. The record is from RNAcentral.
AUACGUAGGGGGCGAGCGUUGUCCGGAAUGAUUGGGCGUAAAGGGCGCGUAGGCGGCCUGUUAAGUCUGGAGUGAAAGUCCUGUUUUCAAGAUGGGAAUUGCUUUGGAUACUGAUGGGCUUGAGUGCAGGAGAGGUUAUCGGAAUUCCCGGUGUAGCGGUGAAAUGCGUAGAGAUCGGGAGGAACACCAGUGGCGAAGGCGGGUAACUGGACUGCAACUGACGCUGAGGCGCGAAAGUGUGGGGAGCAAACAGGAUUAGAUACCCUGGUAGUCCACACCGUAAACGAUGAAUGCUAGGUGUAAGAGGUAUCGACCCCUUUUGUGCCGGAGUCAACACAAUAAGCAUUCCGCCUGGGGAGUACGGCCGCAAGGUUGAAACUCAAAUGAAUUGGCGGGG